Molecule: ribosomal RNA, 460 nt
Filed under: uncultured bacterium
Lineage: Bacteria
Description: partial 16S ribosomal RNA
Rfam family: Bacterial small subunit ribosomal RNA
Source: RNAcentral
CCUACGGGCGGCAGCAGUGAGGAAUAUUGGUCACUGGGCGCGAGCCUGAACCUGCCAAGUAGCGUGAAGGAUGACUGCCCUACGGGUUGUAAACUUCUUUUAUAAAGGAAUAAAGUGAGGCACGGGUGCCUUUUUGUAUGUACUUUAUUAAUAAGGAUCGGCUAACUCCGGGCCAGCAGCAGCGGUAAUAAGGAGGAUCCGAGCGUUAUCCGGCUUUAUUGGGUUUAAAGGGAGCGUAGAUGGGUUGUUAAGUCAGUUGUGAAAGUUUGCGGCUCAACCGUAAAAUUGCAAUUGAUACUGGCAGCCUUGAGUACAGUUGAGGUAGGCGGAAUUCGUGGUGUAGCGGUGAAAUGCUUAGAUAUCACGAAGAACUCCGAUUGCGAAGGCAGCCUACUAAACUGCCACUGACAUUGAUGCUCGAAAGUGUGGGUAGCAAACAGGAUUAGAUACCCCUGUAGUC